Long non-coding RNA from Oreochromis aureus, 421 nucleotides. RefSeq lists it as uncharacterized. The transcript is spliced from 3 exons. The record is from RefSeq and is a predicted model, not a curated record. NCBI's taxonomy places the organism in Eukaryota, Metazoa, Chordata, Actinopteri, Cichliformes, Cichlidae.
UUGAGUUUAUGACUACAAAGACCCUCAUUCUGCCUGACACUGGAGACGGUGUCCUGAUAGAGCGAAGUCUGUGUCCUGGGACGGCCCUGUGCCAGCCAGCAAGAGAUGAUCCAUGCGUCCUGGCGUUGUCUUGGUUGUCCAGUGAUGUUGCUUCAUGAAUCAGGAUAGACUAGAGGCAACUACUGUAACCAAGAGAAGGUGCUUUUGCGAGCGCAGGUGAAACGGAGCUCUGACGAGGCUGAAUCGCACCACAAACCUUGGCCCAAGCCGCCGUUACUCAGUCAGCGCUGGACUUGCAGAACAGGUGCAAAACGAGAACUAUCCAAGUGAAAAUUCAGGUUUUUGUAUCUCCAUCUUCAGCUGCAUUGUCUUCAGCUGGUGUUCAUCCUUAAUUUUUAUUUGUAUUUAGUCUGCCUGUCAU